This 581-nucleotide ribosomal RNA is filed under the name uncultured Enterobacter sp. RNAcentral describes it as "bacterial SSU rRNA". It matches the Rfam family "Bacterial small subunit ribosomal RNA", at positions 338 to 905 of the family's 1533-position model. Lineage: Bacteria; Pseudomonadati; Pseudomonadota; Gammaproteobacteria; Enterobacterales; Enterobacteriaceae. The record is from RNAcentral.
CCUUCGGGGGCGCGCAGUGGGGAAUAUCGCACAGACCUUGGCGAUGCUGAUGCAGCAUGCCGCGUGUAUGAAGAAGGCCUUCGUGUUGUAAAGUACUUUCGGCGGGGAGGAAGGCGAUAAGGUUAAUAACCUUGUCGAUUGCCGUUACCCGCAGAAGAAGCACCGGCUAACUCCGUGCCAGCAGCCGCGGUAAUACGGAGGGUGCAAGCGUUUAUCGGAAUUUCUGGGCGUAAAGCGCACGCAGGCGGUUUGUCAAUUCGGAUGUGAAAUCCCCGGGCUCAACCUGGGAACUGCAUUCGAACCUGGCAGGCUAGAGUCUUGUAGAGGGGGGUAGAAUUCCAGGUGUAGCGGUGAAAUGCGUAGAGAUCUGGAGGAAUCCCGGUGGCGAAGGCGGCCCCCUGGACCAAGACUGACGCUCAGGUGCGAAAGCGUGGGGAGCAACCAGGUUUAGAUACCCUGGUAGUCCACGCCGUAACCGAUGUCGACUUGGAGGUUGUGCCCUUGAGGCUUGUCUUCCGGAGCUAACGCGUUAAGUCGACCGCCUGGGGAGUACGGCACAGACGUACCGGUUAAAACUCAAA